UCACCACCUUAUUCUUACCGUCGACGUUUGCCGUCACCAUCACCUUCAUCCCGUCGAUUCUUCACCGUCACCACCUUCUUCUUGCCGUCGACGUUUUUCCGUCACCAUCACCUUCUCCACGUCGAAUCUUCACCGUCACCACCCUCUUCUUGCCGUCGACGUUUUGCCGUCACCAUCACCUUCUCCACGUCGAAUCUUCACCGUAACCAUCUUCUUCUUACCGUCGACGUUUUGCCGUCACCAUCACCUUCAUCCCGUCGAAUCUUCACCGUCAUCACCUUCUUCUUGCCGUCGACGUUUUGCCGUCGCCAUCACCUUCUCCACGUCGAAUCUUCACCGUAACCACCACCUUCUUGCCGUCGACGUUUUGCCGUCACCAUCACCUUCUCCACGUCGAAUCUUCACCGUCACCACCUUCUUCUUACCGUCGACGUUUUGCCGUCGCCAUCACCUUCAUCCCGUCCAAUCUUCACCGUCACCACCUUCUUCUUGCCGUCGACGUUUUGCCGUCACCAUCACCUUCUCCACGUCGAAUCUUCACCGUCACCACCUUCUUCUUACCGUCGACGUUUUGCCGUCGCCAUCACCUUCAUCCCGUCGAAUCUUCACCGUCACCACCUUCUUCUUACCGUCGACGUUUUGCCGUCGCCAUCACCUUCAUCCCGUCGAAUCUUCACCGUCACCACCUUCUUCUUGCCGUCGACGUUUUGCCGUCGCCAUCACCUUCAUCCCGUCGAAUCUUCACCGUCAUCACCUUCUUCUUGCCGUCGACGUUUUGCCGUCACCAUCACCUUCUCCACGUCGAAUCUUCACCGUCACCACCUUCUUCUUACCGUCGACGUUUUGCCGUCGCCAUCACCUUCAUCCCGUCGAAUCUUCACCGUCACCACCUUCUUCUUGCCGUCGACGUUUUGCCGUCGCCAUCACCUUCAUCCCGUCGAAUCUUCACCGUCACCACCUUCUUCUUGCCGUCGACGUUUUGCCGUCGCCAUCACCAUCUCCACGUCGAAUCUUCACCGUCACCACCUUCUUCUUACCGUCGACGUUUUGCCGUCACCAUCACCUUCAUCCCGUCGAAUCUUCACCGUCACCAUCUUCUUCUUGCCGUCGACGUUUUGCCGUCACCAUCACCUUCAUCCCGCUGAAUCUUCACCGUCACCACCUUCUUCUUGCCGUCGACGUUUUGCCGUCACCAUCACCUUCUCCACGUCGAAUCUUCACCGUCACCACCUUCUUCUUGCCGUCGACGUUUUGCCGUCGCCAUCACCUUCUGUGUAAUCUGCACGGGGGUACCUGGCGCAAUGCG
Molecule: long non-coding RNA, 1306 nt
Filed under: Volvox carteri
Lineage: Eukaryota; Viridiplantae; Chlorophyta; Chlorophyceae; Chlamydomonadales; Volvocaceae
Description: long non-coding RNA (VCAR_LNC000372)
Source: RNAcentral